UACGGGGGGGGCAAGCGUUGUUCGGAAUUACUGGGCGUAAAGGGCUCGUAGGCGGCCAACUAAGUCAGACGUGAAAUCCCUCGGCUUAACCGGGGAACUGCGUCUGAUACUGGAUGGCUUGAGUUUGGGAGAGGGAUGCGGAAUUCCAGGUGUAGCGGUGAAAUGCGUAGAUAUCUGGAGGAACACCGGUGGCGAAGGCGGCCCACUGGUCCGGUACUGACGCUGAGGCGCGAAAGCGUGGGGAGCAAACAGG
Molecule: ribosomal RNA, 253 nt
Filed under: uncultured bacterium
Lineage: Bacteria
Description: partial 16S ribosomal RNA
Rfam family: Bacterial small subunit ribosomal RNA
Source: RNAcentral